CGUGAGUUGUGGAGGAUGAACCGUGUUCCUUCCUCCGAGCACCCGCAGCGUACCCUGCUGUCUCGUGCUCUUCCUUUUCCUGACAUGAAUGCAGGUGUGGACAUCUGUCAGGUGUUGCUUUUGAAUAGACCUGGACAACUUGUACGGCUCUUGCCUUGGUUAGCAGGGGAGGAGCGAGGAGGAAGACUUGCCAGACAAGAUCCAAAGCUGGUGUGACCUUCAUUUUUCUCAUAAGCUGGUUCUGAAACUUAGAGCAGACGACUCCUAGCCCGAGCUCCUGAGCUACCAGUGCCGGAGUUUGAAGAUGCAGCAGGCCUGAUAGUGAGGACAGAAGAAUCUCCUUUAAGAAGUCUCACAGUCGGAAACGUUGACCAUGUCUAUUACAGAUCACAGCCCCACCACUGGUGUGGUGACUGUUAUUGUUAUUUUGAUUGCUAUUGCGGCUCUCGGUGCCUUGAUACUGGGCUGCUGGUGUUACCUGCGUCUGCAGAGGAUCAGCCAGUCUGAAGAUGAGGAAAGCAUUGUGGGCGAAGGAGAAACCAAAGAGCCCUUUCUUCUGGUGCAGUACUCUGCUAAAGGACCUUGCGUAGAGAGGAAAGCGAAGCUAACUCCAAAUGGCACAGAAGUACACAGCUAACUUGGAGCAACAUGUGCAUAUGGACCAUGUUUAUAAUGUGCGUAACCAGCAGAAGAAUCUAUACUGUGAAGAACCUGGUCACAUGCACACUACUCAUCAGAAAAUGCCCCAGUGAGGCUUAAAUAAGCUUUGUUUGCAACUGCAUGCACUGAGAAGUUGCACUUUGCAUCAACUGUGUACCCUAAUUCCUCUGUGGCAGGAUCUGGUUCACCUGGCUUAAUGUCCAUUGCUGGCAAUGGACACAGGGAUAUAUUGGUGUCAAGAGACUACUAGCAUUUUUUUGUUACUUGAAUGUUUAGCUGAGCCUAUUUUGAUGGAGCUACUACUGUAAUGUGAACUACUUUACAACUGUGAACUGUAAAUAGGCUGCCAGAAGCUUUUUGCUUUGUGUUCCACAGCAUAUGGUAAUAACAUCAUGCAACUGUACAUAACUCACAAGGGAACUCCUGAAGCACAACUGUAGGUGGGAUUCCAGACCCUCAAAACCAAAUCUGCAGUGAAAGCUUGCUUCUGCCACUAACUCGAGUGCACAGACAUAGAAAAGUUAGAACUCCUGCUCUUAGCAGUUCAUUGGACUGAUGCAGAAUACUUUCUUUGAAAAGAAGGUAUAAGCCUUCAGUAACACAUGGAGGGAGAAGCUAGGAGCUACAAAAAGGAAAUAACUUCUAGUUGCAGCUAGGUAGAUGAAGCUUUUGGCUGCUAGAACUGAGUUCUCUAAGUAUGUAGCUACUGCAAGGAAACUGCCGCUUGGAUGGAUUCCAACCUGGGAACUAAUGAUGGAUACUGAACCCUCAGGGAUGGUCCAGAAGGUUUCCAGGGCUUUGACAGGGCAGUAGAGCAGGCUCUUCUCUUCUGUAGGUCUGCGUGCUGGAACUGCAGAAGUGGUUACUUAAUAAAACUGGCAUAAGUGCCACUAAUAUGAUUUUUUUCCUAGAACACUUGUUUGUGUAUUUAACAGUUAGGGUGUAUGUUAACAGCCUGUUGUAAAAAGGCAUUUUAGUCUACAAACAGCCAGCUAUAGAAUUCAGUUAAUGUAUCUUGUAGUUAAGUUUCAGUCUUUCCUACAAAAACAAAUGCUGAUAUGGGGAAGGGAGACCGGUCAGUUUGUAGAAGUUUUUUAGCCAGCAAUGGCAAAGGCCUUCCAGAUACAGACAUCCCUUCAUUUCCUGCGAUGGGAACUGUAUGAAGAUGUGUUAAAUGGGGAGUUUGGGAUCUCAAAGAUUUGGGGAGGAGGAACAAGAAGACUGAGCCACCCAUGGCAGCUUACAUAUUCUAAAGCUCUUAGGGUAGGCACACAUGCUUUGAGGCCGCUCACCUGUUUUCUGUAACUUUAGCCAUAGCUUCCUCAUGCCUACUGACAUUUUUAAAUACUUAGUUGCCUAGGAGAUAAAAAAGCUACUGUAGGUCUGCUCCCUGAAAUAAGUGACAAAUAAGUCCAAGUUCUUCAGCUCUAUAGGAAGCAAUAGACUUGCUCCUUGUCCCUGUACAUAUGGAAUUACUGAGUAACAUAGGCCUAGCAAACUUGCUUGAGAAUUGUAAAUAUAUGCAAGACAAUAAUGGCCUAGUCAGUGAAGUCUUGUCCCUCUCUGCUACAGUAAGAUGUUGAAUUGCAUUUUUAGUGCUAUAUUGGUCUUUUUAAUUGAAGACUAUAUAAUUUGAAGCAAAAAUUAAUGCUGCCAGUAGCAAAAAGCUCUUGCUGUUGCCUCUUGAGUACGCUAUGGGUACAGCUGAUUGAUGGCUGUUUUUCCCCUGGCACUAGUCCCCUGAGACUUGCAUGAACAGCCAGACCCAUGCACUUAAACUGCUGUAUUCUAGGCCUCUUACAAAGCAAGGAGAAAAGGAUUAUUUCAGUAGGACUUUCUUUAGUUUUCAGUAGAGAACGGUUCACACAUGGCUCUUGCAGGUUUCAAGACAGUCAUAAGUUAUAUACAAAAGUGAUACCAAGUGCUGAAGGGCUGGAACAGAACAGCUGUAGCAAGAUGACUUUGUCCAUUCAAGUUUACUGAUUACAUGGAUGAAAUAUCUCUAUUUUAAAAUAAAUUCAGCAAGAAAAUGCAGUGUAAAGGGCAAACUUCUGAAAUAAUGGAAAAGUAUAAAUCAAAGGUCUGAUUGCUCUUCUAGCAACUGUAAGGGAAAGCCAGUGAAAAAGAACUGGUCCUUAGUCAGAGGUGCUGCCCCUAAAAAUCAGCAUCUUUCAUUUAAAUGGAUAGGUGUUUGCAAGUUAGCACAAUAGUAAAAUGCAGAAAGUGCUUUCCAUAUUCCUCUUCUCUUUAGAUGUGGGUAUCUCAUAAGUUGUUCAAGUAUACAAAAAUAUUCCAUUUGAUUUUCUUUUUCUAGCUCAUGUGGGGGAAGAAGUCUUUAUUUACAAUGAAUUUCAAUAAAAAUUGCAUAAAUACCUACCUAA
Columba livia (rock pigeon) is the source of this 3041-nucleotide RNA transcript. It is a transcript of the gene named stannin, with no coding region annotated. The transcript has 3 exons. Lineage: Eukaryota; Metazoa; Chordata; Aves; Columbiformes; Columbidae. The record is from RefSeq and is a predicted model, not a curated record.